AUGAGAACCUUGUUUUGGAACUGUUGGGGGAUUGGCGACUCCUCGACAGUUCAUGAGCUUCGGGAGCUCAUUCAGUGUGCGCCGUCCGUGGUGUGUAUUGUGGAAACACAAAUUGCAAAACAACGGGAGGGCCUAACAUCUUUGUUGGGCUUCGAAGGAGGAUAUGUGGUUGCUAGUAGAGGGAGGAGCGGAGGAAUAGGAAUUUUCUGGAAGGAUGGCAUAAAUCUCACUGUAAAAAACUGUUCAAAGUACCAUGUUGAUGCUUGGGUGAAAGAACCAUGGAAGGAUGAAUGGAGGAUGACAUUUUUUUAUGGUGAGGGGAAUAGAAUGUUAAGGCAGAAUACUUGGGAUAUGAUGACUUUCCUGAGGGGAGAAUCAACUCUACCAUGGUCUUGCAUAGGUGAUUUUAAUGAGAUUCUCCAUCAUGAAGAGCAGUAUGGCCCGAAUGAAUGUGAUGUUGCACAGAUGGCGGGCUUCAGGGAAGCAGUGGACGUGUGCGGACUAGGUGAUCUUGGCAUGUGGGUGUCGAUUGGACGUUCGAGAAGAAGGUUGCUGGUGGUCACUACUGUCGGGUCAGGUUGGAUCGUGCGCUUGCCACGGCUGAAUGGGGUUUGA
RNAcentral lists this ribosomal RNA (615 nucleotides) under Triticum aestivum (bread wheat). RNAcentral describes it as "partial small subunit ribosomal RNA". Lineage: Eukaryota; Viridiplantae; Streptophyta; Magnoliopsida; Poales; Poaceae. The record is from RNAcentral.